RNAcentral lists this ribosomal RNA (312 nucleotides) under bacterium 4G21. Its description in RNAcentral is "bacterial SSU rRNA". It matches the Rfam family "Bacterial small subunit ribosomal RNA", at positions 238 to 542 of the family's 1533-position model. The record is from RNAcentral.
AGAUUAGCUAGUUGGUGAGGUAAUGGCUCACCAAGGCGACGAUCUCUAGCUGGUCUGAGAGGAUGAUCAGCCACACUGGGACUGAGACACGGCCCAGACUCCUACGGGAGGCAGNNNUGGGGAAUAUUGCACAAUGGGCGCAAGCCUGAUGCAGCCAUGCCGCGUNUGUGAAGAAGGCCUUCGGGUUGUAAAGCACUUUCAGCAGUGAGGAAGGCAGUAGCGUUAAUAGCGUUGGUGUUUGACGUUAGCUGCAGAAGAAGCACCGGCUAACUCCGUGCCAGCAGCCGCGGUAAUACGGAGGGUGCGAGCGUU